This 932-nucleotide ribosomal RNA is filed under the name uncultured marine bacterium. RNAcentral's name for it is "bacterial SSU rRNA". It matches the Rfam family "Bacterial small subunit ribosomal RNA", at positions 57 to 1029 of the family's 1533-position model. The record is from RNAcentral.
GCAAGUCGAACGAAGUAGCAAUACUUAGUGGCAGACGGGUGAGUAACAUGUAGGUAUCUGCCCUUUGGCCUGGAAUAACACGAGGAAACUUGUGCUAAUACCGGAUAAGUCUUUACGGAGAAAGCUUUAUGCACCAUUGGAUGAGCCUGCACUUGAUUAGUUUGUUGGUGGGGUAAUGGCCUACCAAGACUGUGAUCAAUAGCUGAUUUGAGAGGAUGAUCAGCCACAUUGGGACUGAGACACGGCCCAAACUCCUACGGGAGGCAGCAGUGGGGAAUCUUGCACAAUGGAGGAAACUCUGAUGCAGCGAUGCCGCGUGAGUGAAGAAGGCCUUUGGGUUGUAAAGCUCUUUCGUCGGGGAAGAAAAUGACUGUACCCGAAUAAGAAGGUCCGGCUAACUUCGUGCCAGCAGCCGCGGUAAUACGAAGGGACCUAGCGUAGUUCGGAAUUACUGGGCUUAAAGAGUUCGUAGGUGGUUGAAAAAGUUGGUGGUGAAAUCCCAGAGCUUAACUCUGGAACUGCCAUCAAAACUUUUCAGCUAGAGUAUGAUAGAGGAAAGCAGAAUUUCUAGUGUAGAGGUGAAAUUCGUAGAUAUUAGAAAGAAUACCAAUUGCGAAGGCAGCUUUCUGGAUCAUUACUGACACUGAGGAACGAAAGCAUGGGUAGCGAAGAGGAUUAGAUACCCUCGUAGUCCAUGCCGUAAACGAUGUGUGUUAGACGUUUGGAAAAUUUAUUUUCAGUGUCGCGGCGAAAGCGAUAAACACACCGCCUGGGGAGUACGACCGCAAGGUUUAAAACUCAAAUGAAUUGACGGGGACCCGCACAAGUAGUGGGAGCAUGUGGUUUAAUUCGAAAGAUACGCGCAGAACCUUUACCAACACUUGACAUGUUCGUCGCGACUUUAAGCGAUUUAAAGUUUUCGGUUCGGUCGG